GAAAAUGUGGCUUAGUGGUAGAGCACUUGCCUAGGAUGCAUGAAGCCUGGGUUCGAUUCCUCAGUACCA
RNAcentral lists this transfer RNA (69 nucleotides) under Dipodomys ordii (Ord's kangaroo rat). It matches the Rfam family "tRNA". From Rfam's summary of the family: Transfer RNA (tRNA) molecules are approximately 80 nucleotides in length. Their secondary structure includes four short double-helical elements and three loops (D, anti-codon, and T loops). Further hydrogen bonds mediate the characteristic L-shaped molecular structure. tRNAs have two regions of fundamental functional importance: the anti-codon, which is responsible for specific mRNA codon recognition, and the 3' end, to which the tRNAs corresponding amino acid is attached (by aminoacyl-tRNA synthetases). tRNAs cope with the degeneracy of the genetic code in two manners: having more than one tRNA (with a specific anti-codon) for a particular amino acid; and 'wobble' base-pairing, i.e. permitting non-standard base-pairing at the 3rd anti-codon position. The record is from Rfam by way of RNAcentral. Lineage: Eukaryota; Metazoa; Chordata; Mammalia; Rodentia; Heteromyidae.